GAUUAAGUUAUUAAGGGCGCACGGUGGAUGCCUUGGCACUAGAAGCCGAUGAAGGACGUUACUAACGACGAUAUGCUUUGGGGAGCUGUAAGUAAGCUUUGAUCCAGAGAUUUCCGAAUGGGGAAACCCAGCAUGAGUUAUGUCAUGUUAUCGAUAUGUGAAUACAUAGCAUAUCAGAAGGCACACCCGGAGAACUGAAACAUCUUAGUACCCGGAGGAAGAGAAAGAAAAUUCGAUUCCCUUAGUAGCGGCGAGCGAAACGGGAAGAGCCCAAACCAACAAGCUUGCUUGUUGGGGUUGUAGGACACUCUAUACGGAGUUACAAAGGACGACAUUAGACGAAUCAUCUGGAAAGAUGAAUCAAAGAAGGUAAUAAUCCUGUAGUCGAAAAUGUUGUCUCUCUUGAGUGGAUCCUGAGUACGACGGAGCACGUGAAAUUCCGUCGGAAUCUGGGAGGACCAUCUCCUAAGGCUAAAUACUCUCUAGUGACCGAUAGUGAACCAGUACCGUGAGGGAAAGGUGAAAAGCACCCCGGAAGGGGAGUGAAAUAGAACCUGAAACCGUGUGCUUACAAGUAGUCAGAGCCCGUUAAUGGGUGAUGGCGUGCCUUUUGUAGAAUGAACCGGCGAGUUACGAUUUGAUGCAAGGUUAAGCAGUAAAUGUGGAGCCGUAGCGAAAGCGAGUCUGAAUAGGGCGUUUAGUAUUUGGUCGUAGACCCGAAACCAGGUGAUCUACCCUUGGUCAGGUUGAAGUUCAGGUAACACUGAAUGGAGGACCGAACCGACUUACGUUGAAAAGUGAGCGGAUGAACUGAGGGUAGCGGAGAAAUUCCAAUCGAACCUGGAGAUAGCUGGUUCUCUCCGAAAUAGCUUUAGGGCUAGCCUCAAGUGAUGAUUAUUGGAGGUAGAGCACUGUUUGGACGAGGGGCCCCUCUCGGGUUACCGAAUUCAGACAAACUCCGAAUGCCAAUUAAUUUAACUUGGGAGUCAGAACAUGGGUGAUAAGGUCCGUGUUCGAAAGGGAAACAGCCCAGACCACCAGCUAAGGUCCCAAAAUAUAUGUUAAGUGGAAAAGGAUGUGGCGUUGCCCAGACAACUAGGAUGUUGGCUUAGAAGCAGCCAUCAUUUAAAGAGUGCGUAAUAGCUCACUAGUCGAGUGACACUGCGCCGAAAAUGUACCGGGGCUAAACAUAUUACCGAAGCUGUGGAUUGUCCUUUGGACAAUGGUAGGAGAGCGUUCUAAGGGCGUUGAAGCAUGAUCGUAAGGACAUGUGGAGCGCUUAGAAGUGAGAAUGCCGGUGUGAGUAGCGAAAGACGGGUGAGAAUCCCGUCCACCGAUUGACUAAGGUUUCCAGAGGAAGGCUCGUCCGCUCUGGGUUAGUCGGGUCCUAAGCUGAGGCCGACAGGCGUAGGCGAUGGAUAACAGGUUGAUAUUCCUGUACCACCUAUAAUCGUUUUAAUCGAUGGGGGGACGCAGUAGGAUAGGCGAAGCGUGCGAUUGGAUUGCACGUCUAAGCAGUAAGGCUGAGUAUUAGGCAAAUCCGGUACUCGUUAAGGCUGAGCUGUGAUGGGGAGAAGACAUUGUGUCUUCGAGUCGUUGAUUUCACACUGCCGAGAAAAGCCUCUAGAUAGAAAAUAGGUGCCCGUACCGCAAACCGACACAGGUAGUCAAGAUGAGAAUUCUAAGGUGAGCGAGCGAACUCUCGUUAAGGAACUCGGCAAAAUGACCCCGUAACUUCGGGAGAAGGGGUGCUCUUUAGGGUUAACGCCCAGAAGAGCCGCAGUGAAUAGGCCCAAGCGACUGUUUAUCAAAAACACAGGUCUCUGCUAAACCGUAAGGUGAUGUAUAGGGGCUGACGCCUGCCCGGUGCUGGAAGGUUAAGAGGAGUGGUUAGCUUCUGCGAAGCUACGAAUCGAAGCCCCAGUAAACGGCGGCCGUAACUAUAACGGUCCUAAGGUAGCGAAAUUCCUUGUCGGGUAAGUUCCGACCCGCACGAAAGGCGUAACGAUUUGGGCACUGUCUCAACGAGAGACUCGGUGAAAUCAUAGUACCUGUGAAGAUGCAGGUUACCCGCGACAGGACGGAAAGACCCCGUGGAGCUUUACUGUAGCCUGAUAUUGAAAUUCGGCACAGCUUGUACAGGAUAGGUAGGAGCCUUUGAAACGUGAGCGCUAGCUUACGUGGAGGCGCUGGUGGGAUACUACCCUAGCUGUGUUGGCUUUCUAACCCGCACCACUUAUCGUGGUGGGAGACAGUGUCAGGCGGGCAGUUUGACUGGGGCGGUCGCCUCCUAAAAGGUAACGGAGGCGCUCAAAGGUUCCCUCAGAAUGGUUGGAAAUCAUUCAUAGAGUGUAAAGGCAUAAGGGAGCUUGACUGCGAGACCUACAAGUCGAGCAGGGUCGAAAGACGGACUUAGUGAUCCGGUGGUUCCGCAUGGAAGGGCCAUCGCUCAACGGAUAAAAGCUACCCCGGGGAUAACAGGCUUAUCUCCCCCAAGAGUUCACAUCGACGGGGAGGUUUGGCACCUCGAUGUCGGCUCAUCGCAUCCUGGGGCUGUAGUCGGUUCCAAGGGUUGGGCUGUUCGCCCAUUAAAGCGGUACGCGAGCUGGGUUCAGAACGUCGUGAGACAGUUCGGUCCCUAUCCGUCGUGGGCGUAGGAAAUUUGAGAGGAGCUGUCCUUAGUACGAGAGGACCGGGAUGGACAUACCUCUGGUGUACCAGUUGUCGUGCCAACGGCAUAGCUGGGUAGCUAUGUGUGGACGGGAUAAGUGCUGAAAGCAUCUAAGCAUGAAGCCCCCCUCAAGAUGAGAUUUCCCAACUUCGGUUAUAAGAUCCCUCAAAGAUGAUGAGGUUAAUAGGUUCGAGGUGGAAGCAUGGUGACAUGUGGAGCUGACGAAUACUAAUCGAUCGAAGACUUAAUCAA
Molecule: ribosomal RNA, 2923 nt
Filed under: Staphylococcus aureus
Lineage: Bacteria; Bacillati; Bacillota; Bacilli; Caryophanales; Staphylococcaceae
Description: 23S ribosomal RNA
Rfam family: Bacterial large subunit ribosomal RNA
Source: RNAcentral